UGGCCACUAAUUCAUGGUUGGCUCGGUUCCUCUUGUCAAGGUAUGUCACUUGAACCCAUCCAAAUCUGAUCAUUUACCGAUGUUGGUGGAGAUUCAGAGUUCUUUGGUGGUGCAGGCUAGGAAGGGACAGAGGUUUCGGUUUAAGAAAAUAUGGUUACAAGGGGAAGGUUGUGAAAAUGUCAUUCAGAGUGCUUGGGCCUUUCCGAGUGCAAGAGUGCCGUUAUUCCAAGUUUGUGAGAAGAUUCGUACCACGCGGGUGGCGUUAUUGGAGCA
RNAcentral lists this long non-coding RNA (273 nucleotides) under Malus domestica (apple). RNAcentral's name for it is "long non-coding RNA (MDOM_LNC002795)". The record is from RNAcentral. Lineage: Eukaryota; Viridiplantae; Streptophyta; Magnoliopsida; Rosales; Rosaceae.